This 450-nucleotide ribosomal RNA is filed under the name uncultured bacterium. RNAcentral describes it as "bacterial SSU rRNA". It matches the Rfam family "Bacterial small subunit ribosomal RNA", at positions 29 to 524 of the family's 1533-position model. The record is from RNAcentral.
AGCGAACGCUGGCGGCAGGCCUAACACAUGCAAGUCGAACGGAUCCUUCGGGAUUAGUGGCGGACGGGUGAGUAACACGUGGGAACGUGCCCUUUGGUUCGGAACAACUCAGGGAAACUUGAGCUAAUACCGGAUGUGCCCUUCGGGGGAAAGAUUUAUCGCCAUUGGAGCGGCCCGCGUCUGAUUAGCUAGUUGGUGAGGUAAAGGCUCACCAAGGCGACGAUCAGUAGCUGGUCUGAGAGGAUGAUCAGCCACAUUGGGACUGAGACACGGCCCAAACUCCUACGGGAGGCAGCAGUGGGGAAUCUUGCGCAAUGGGCGAAAGCCUGACGCAGCCAUGCCGCGUGAAUGAUGAAGGUCUUAGGAUUGUAAAAUUCUUUCACCGGGGACGAUAAUGACGGUACCCGGAGAAGAAGCCCCGGCUAACUUCGUGCCAGCAGCCGCGGUAAU